UAGAACACUAUGAAAUUCACAAAGCGUUACAAGAUCCUAAUUUCAAAUUAAUAAAUGACAUAACUGAAUUCAAUGAUAAUCAUCUUUAUAAAUACGUUGCCCAUUCACAUAACACGCCACUGCCUCAUACAUAACCUCACAUACUGAUACACACACACACUACACUUAAAACAUCGCUCACCCAUACAUUCAAUUUUAUAUAAAAAUAUGGACAUUACAUCAUACAUUUCCAUCUUGUUAAAAAAUGUAAUUCAGUAGACGGUAAGAUAGAUUUUG
Photinus pyralis (common eastern firefly) is the source of this 276-nucleotide long non-coding RNA. RefSeq lists it as uncharacterized. NCBI's taxonomy places the organism in Eukaryota, Metazoa, Arthropoda, Insecta, Coleoptera, Lampyridae. The transcript is spliced from 2 exons. The record is from RefSeq and is a predicted model, not a curated record.